Molecule: long non-coding RNA, 1038 nt
Organism: Paramacrobiotus metropolitanus
Lineage: Eukaryota; Metazoa; Tardigrada; Eutardigrada; Parachela; Macrobiotidae
Exons: 3
Source: RefSeq, a predicted model, not a curated record
UUUAGGUUUCUUAGAACGGCUAUUUCCUGUCAUAUACAGAUACGCCUAAUAAUAUUAUUAUCGAAUCAUGCGUUUUGCGAUAUUUGUUUUUAAGCUGUACCCGUGAGUUCCGUGAUUUCCCAGCGCAGUUAUUGCUGUUUUUUAGAGAACAAUAUAUCUGCCGGCACUGUUCCUCCAGCAAACAAAAUUAUUUGCUUCUCAUCUGCACUUACCAUCAGUCAUCAAAUAUGGUGUUAAUAUGGCUGGUGAACGUGUGUUACGGCAUUUUUUUCCGAAUUCUCAUAAUUUGCUGGAGUAUUUAAGAGCUUAUCUGCAGAUAAUUGCAAGGACCGCGCGGUGGAAUCGUCACCGGAUCCGCUUCCAGGAUGGUGGCGUUGCGCCGGCUAAUCCGCCCCGCCGCCGCGGUCAGUAUAGCGCAAAUCAGUACAAAUAUACAAAUCACCGAGAUCAGCACCACCAACACCACAAAGACGAUUACGUUGACGUUCUGCGCGGUGGUCGGUGUGCCGCCGGGCAGCUGGGAGGAAUGUGGGCCUUCCGGCGAUGUUCCCAGCCAUUCGGCCACUUUAUCCAAUGCGACCUUUAGGUAGUACGGCGACCAGAUAAACAGUACACCAAUGGCGAUGCAUAAUACCACGGCACAGCUGUACAGGAUGCAGAGAAUAAUGUUGAAUGCGCCGACUAGAAAGAAUAAUCGCUGGGAUGGGGCUCCUUGCCGACUCUUUUUAACAACCAGGACACCGAGGGAUCCGGUGACCAUCAAGAAGAUGUCGAAUAGCAGCCGUACAACGACAGGCCAAAUGUGCUCGUUGGGAAUCUCUGUUAAUAAAAACAGCUAACAUUUAACAGCAUAUUUCGUUUUUCUUAUUUAUUUCUUGAUUUCCGGAUGUUAUGUUUCGCCGAACACUGCAUGUUUUGUAGAUUCACACAUCUAUAAUUAUUAUGUAUAUAAGGCAAAAAUGUUAUACAUUUGGAGCAACAACCGGAAGACAAAAUGUAAAGAUACAUAAGACAGAAGUAUAUGAUUUAUGUAUAAAA